UGGAAAUCUGGCAGGAGUCCUGGGA
Molecule: non-coding RNA, 25 nt
Filed under: Rattus norvegicus (Norway rat)
Lineage: Eukaryota; Metazoa; Chordata; Mammalia; Rodentia; Muridae
Source: RNAcentral